CUUCCGGUGCCGCGGGACCACGCGUGCUCUGUGCUUCCGGUCCGGCGGGGAAGGCGGCUGCCGCAGGCUUUCCCGGUAACGUGAAGUGCCCACGGCUGGCCCCGGCAGCAUGAAGCCCAGGCCUGCGGUGUUCGUAGACGGGAGGCUGAAGCAGCGGGUCAUUCAGUACCUCGCCAGUAAUAGAUGUGGCAAAUAUGUAGACACUGGAAUCUUAGCAUCUGACUUGCAGAGAAUGUACAGUGUAGAUUAUGGCCGAAGAAAAAGAAAUGCUUUUAGGAUUCAGGUAGAAAAAGUAUUUAACGUAAUUAGUAGUGAGAAAGAACUGAAGAAUCUUAAGGAAUUAGAAGAUGAGCAUCUGGCAAAAAGAGCAAGAAGGGACGAAGAUGAUGAGUACACUGAAAGCUAUUCUGAUGAUGAUUCAAACAUGGAAGAUUACCCAGAUCCACAGUCAGGAAAUCACAUGAACAGUUCCCUGCUGUCUUUGUAUCGGAAAGGAAACCCUGAUUCUGUUUCCAACACUCCAAAGUUGGAACAGAGAGAAGCCACCACUUCAGUGCCAUUACUGACUUCUAAAACGGGCUCCAUGCCAUUGAAGACCCCUGCCAGAGAAUCUGAGGGAGGAUGGUUUAUUGACAAAACCCCAGGUGGAAAGAAAGAAAGUCUUCCUUCAGACCUAUCAGAUGACCAAAGCAACUAUAAAAAGCCAGAUUCUGAGAAUUUAAAAGAUUCUUCUCUUCUGGAAAGUGAUAAGAAAAGAAAAGGUAGGCCAAAGAGCAAAGGAAACAAAAGAAAGACAGAGGAUCUUCAAGAAGUAGAUGGAGAAAUAGAAGCUAGUCUGCAAAAGAAAGCCAAAGCAAGGCGUAUAGAGUUGCAGAUUUCCAGUGUGAAGUUUGAAGAUGUUGGAGGCAAUGAUGCAACAUUAAAAGAAGUAUGCAAGAUGCUCAUCCACAUGCGUCACCCAGAGGUAUACCACCACCUUGGUGUAGUGCCCCCUCGUGGAGUUCUCUUGCAUGGGCCGCCAGGCUGUGGGAAGACAUUACUUGCGCAUGCAAUUGCUGGGGAACUUGAUUUGCCAAUCCUGAAAGUGGCUGCACCAGAGAUCGUGUCGGGAGUUUCUGGAGAGUCUGAGCAAAAGCUCAGAGAUUUAUUUGAUCAAGCUGUGUCAAACGCACCCUGUAUUGUUUUCAUUGAUGAAAUUGAUGCUAUUACCCCCAAAAGAGAAGUUGCUUCAAAAGAUAUGGAACGAAGAAUUGUAGCCCAGCUUCUAACCUGCAUGGAUGAUCUGAACAGCAUGGCAGCUACAGCUCAAGUCCUAGUUGUUGGAGCUACUAACCGACCAGACUCGUUGGAUCCUGCCUUGAGACGUGCAGGAAGGUUUGACCGAGAAGUAUGCCUGGGUAUCCCUGAUGAGGCUGCCAGAGAAAGAAUACUUCGAACUUUGUGCCGAAAACUGAGACUUCCGGAAACUUUUAAUUUUUGUCACUUAGCACACCUAACUCCGGGCUUUGUUGGUGCUGAUCUGAUGGCACUUUGCCGAGAGGCAGCCAUGUGUGCAGUCAAUAGGGUCUUGAUGAAGCAGCAGGAGCAGCAGAAGAGUCCUGAGAUGGAAGCUUUGCCCCCUGAAGGAGCCCAGGAGGAGAGGCUGGGGGCCGAGCCCACUUCUGGAACCCAGGAUGAAUUGCAAAGGCUGUUGAGGUUGCUAAGAGACCAAGAUCCCCUCUCACAAGAACAGAUGCAAGGACUAUGCAUUGAAUUAAAUGAUUUCAUUGUUGCUCUAGCGGAAGUCCAGCCUUCUGCCAAAAGGGAAGGCUUUGUAACUGUCCCUAAUGUGACAUGGGCCGAUAUUGGUGCCCUGGAAGAUAUUAGAGAAGAGCUCAUAAUGGCAAUAUUGGCACCAGUACGUAACCCAGACCAGUUCAGAACUCUUGGUUUGGUGACUCCAGCUGGCAUCCUCCUAGCUGGUCCUCCUGGAUGUGGGAAAACUCUGCUAGCAAAGGCUGUGGCAAAUGAGUCUGGACUAAAUUUUAUAUCUGUCAAAGGCCCUGAAUUAUUAAAUAUGUACGUUGGGGAGAGCGAACGUGCUGUGCGGCAGGUUUUUCAACGAGCCAAGAACUCAGCACCCUGUGUGAUAUUUUUUGAUGAAGUGGAUGCUUUAUGUCCUCGAAGAUCAGACCGAGAAACAGGUGCUAGUGUCCGUGUGGUGAAUCAACUGCUUACAGAGAUGGAUGGGUUGGAAACACGUCAGCAAGUUUUUAUUUUGGCUGCCACUAAUAGGCCAGAUAUCAUUGACCCUGCCAUUCUGCGGCCAGGCCGGCUGGACAAAACACUCUUUGUAGGUUUGCCACCCCCAGCAGACCGUGUUGCCAUAUUGAAGACUAUCACAAAAAAUGGCACCAAACCUCCACUGGAUGAAGAUGUAAAUUUGGAAGCAAUUGGCAAUGACCUUCGUUGUAAUUGUUAUACGGGUGCAGACCUCUCUGCUUUGGUCCGAGAAGCUUCCCUCUGUGCCCUGAGACAAGAAAUAACAGGACAGAAGAGUGCAGUUGGAAUAGGUGAGCUCAAGGUCAGCCAUAAGCAUUUUGAAGACGCUUUCAGGAAAGUAAAACCAUCUAUAUCAGUAAAGGAUCAAAAGAUGUAUGAAGCUCUGCAGAGGUCCCUCAGUCAGUGACAUUUGCAGUACCUGUCAUGGAGGUGUCUAGUGCAUGGAACUCACCAAGAAUCACACUUGCUCUGAAGGGUCUACUUUCAGCCUGAAGCAGAUGACCUCACUUGGCAGCAGGACUGUGGGACCAGGGCGGGACGGAGAAAAGUGUCCAUCUGCAGUCAUGUCAGUGCUGGAAACCAAACUUGAAUCUUCCACAGAGCAGUAAAGCCUCUUAACUGCUGGGCCGUAUCUCCAGCCCCAGAGGCAAACAGCCAGAAUCCAGCUGAUGUGGAGCCUUAGAAGCAGCCUGAAGGGUAGAAAUACUCAAAGGAAUGAGUCUGGGAGUAAACAGGUAAAGAAACUCCAUUUGAUGUCAUACAUCCAUCUUGGUACCCACUAGCCAUUUGUCUCUGACUCUAGUCCCUGGAAGAUGUGAUAAAACUAAACUUGGACAAAAUGUACGUCUGAAUCUAAACUUUAUUAACUAAGAAGACUGAAUGGAAUUUUCUCCCGGUGCAGUAAAACCUCAAUCAAGAAAAAUCACUCCAUUUUCAUCACGUCUGGCUCUGAAGUUGCAUCAUGGCGUCCAGCAUGAAGGAUACUUCAUGGAGCCUAAUGACCCGUGUGUCCAUCCCCAGAGCUUCUUUAUCUUAUCUGAAUUCUUCUUCACGUCAAUGAAUAAAAACCCUAGGCAUUUUCUGUGUUUUCAUGCUGAGGCUAAUCCAGGACCUUGUCCAUGUGCUCUGCCACUAAGCUGCAUCUCCAGGUCAGUCCACACUGGUGUUUAUGUGCUGUGUUGAAUAGAAAUCUUUUCAUUCUUAUAGAGACAGCAAAUGUUGAUGACCUCUCCCCUCUCUCUGUCUCACAGAGGAAAAAACUCAGGGCCUUAUGAAUGCCAAGUACACACUCCACCACUGACUACACUUCUAGCCCCAAUACUUUGAUUUCUGUGUUACAAAGGGAGCAAUACUUGGAGCAGAGAUUAUUUAUAUAUUUAUGGCUGUUAUUCAGCUGGGUGAAAUGUGAAAAUUUAAAAGAAUUUAGGAAACAUUUUUCAAUACAAACACUAAAAACAAAAACCAUCUUGGCCUUCCUAUUCUAUCUCCCACAAAUUACAGUCUUGGCAGACAAUUUCUAUCUAGUUCAUUACAAUAUCUCUAUAAGAAUUUGUUACAUUUUCUUUACUUAGUGUGUGUGUGUGUGUGUGUGUGUGUGUGUGUGUGUGUGUGUGUACCGUGGUGUGCAUGCAGAGGUCAAAAGGACAACUUGCAGGAAUUAGUUUCUCCUUUCCCCAUGUCUGUGUCCCAGGAAUCAUCUCAUGUUGAGGGGUGUGGUGGCCAUCCCCAUUACAAUAGCUCUGACAAGAUAGCAAACCCAUGUUGAACACUCUUUCUUGAGUAUGAAUUCUUAACGGUCAUCUCAAAAGAAGAGUAAGACUCCCACUGUGUAUUAUUUAAUUAGGUAAAAUUAAAUAUAAACAUUUAACUGUGUUUCACAGGAAUGAUACAUACUCACACUGAUAAUUGCACAGAAGCUAAUUAGACACAACCAUUUGUAAAUAUUCAUUUAGAGAGGUAGAGAAUUCAGAAAAUCUCUUUCUGUGUGUGUUUGUGUGUGUGUGUGUGUAUGUGUGUGUGUGUCUUCUUCAGUUGUUGCCCACCUUAUUUUUUGAGACAGGGCCUCACCGUGCACCCUAAGCUCACUCAUUAGACUAGACUGAUCAGGCAAUGACUCCAGGGAUUCCCCCUGUCUCUGCCUCUCCAGGCUGGGACUACAGGUGCCCAUCACCGAAAGAGUUUUUUUUUUUUCUUUAAAUGUGGAUUCUGGAGAUGGAACUCGGGUCCUCAUGCCUGUGCAGCAAGAACUCCACCAUCGCCUCAGGCCACUCCUCAGACAGAACAGAAAGAUCACUUCAUAAUUUUAAUACUUGCAGGUUUAUACUGGUGGGCAGUGUUGAUGCACGCCUGUAAUUCCAGCAGUCUGGAGGCUGUGGCAAGAAGACCUCAAGGUUAAGGCUGAUGUCAGUAACAGAACAUUCCAGGCCAGACAGGGGUGCAUAACAAGACUUUGUCUCUGAAUGAAGAGAAGAACACUGAAAAAUGAAAGUGUACAAAGGACAUUGGCUGUUCUGGGUCUUUCACUAAGUAAAAUGAAGCCAGCUGGAUGAGAACCAUCAGAGUUAUGAUCCAGAUGAGGUUGGGGUCAGGUUUCAUCAAGGAUUUUAUCUCUGGAUAUUUUGCUGUAAGAGAAGAAAAUACAACAAGAAUCAUAAAUGGGGAUUAGUGCUGCUGUGGAUAUCGCUCUGUAUAAAUAAACACUGAUUGGCCAGUGGCCAGGGAGAAAGUAUAGGCGGGACUAACAGAGAGGAGAAAAGAGGAAACAGAAAGGAGGAGACCUGCCAGCUGCCACCAUGACAAGCAAGAUGUAAGAUGUGAUAAGACUAAACUUGGACAAAUUGUAUAUCUGAAUCUAAGCUUUAUUAACUAAGAAGCCUGAAUGGAAUUUUCUCCCGGUGCAGUAAAACCUCAAUCAAGAAAAAAUCACUCCAUUUUCAUCACGUCUGGCUCUGAAGUUGCAUCAUGGCAUCCAGCAUGAAGGACCUUGUCCAUGCUGAGCAUGUGCUCUGCCACUAAGCUGCAUCUCCAGGUUUAUACUGGUGGGCAGUGUUGAUGCACGCCUGUAAUUCCAGCAGUCUGGAGGCUGUGGCAAGAAGACCUCAAGGUUAAGGCUGAUGUCAGUAACAGAACAUUCCAGGCCAGACAGGGGUGCAUAACAAGACUUUGUCUCUGAAUGAAGAGAAGAACACUGAAAAAUGAAAGUGUACAAAGGACAUUGGCUGUUCUGGGUCUUUCACUAAGUAAAAUGAAGCCAGCUGGAUGAGAACCAUCAGAGUUAUGAUCCAGAUGAGGUUGGGGUCAGGUUUCAUCAAGGAUUUUAUCUCUGGAUAUUUUGCUGUAAGAGAAGAAAAUACAACAAGAAUCAUAAAUGGGGAUUAGUAAGCUUGCAAGAUUGGUAGAAGCCUGUUAAUGAACCUGGCUUGUGUUUGCCUUUG
This is an RNA transcript of Peromyscus californicus insignis, 5696 nucleotides long. It is a transcript of the gene named nuclear VCP like, with no coding region annotated. The record is from RefSeq and is a predicted model, not a curated record. The transcript has 35 exons. NCBI's taxonomy places the organism in Eukaryota, Metazoa, Chordata, Mammalia, Rodentia, Cricetidae.